AACGAACGCUGGCGGCAGGCUUAACACAUGCAAGUCGAGCGAGACCUUCGGGUCUAGCGGCGGACGGGUGAGUAACGCGUGGGAACGUGCCCUUCUCUACGGAAUAGCCCCGGGAAACUGGGAGUAAUACCGUAUACGCCCUUUGGGGGAAAGAUUUAUCGGAGAAGGAUCGGCCCGCGUUGGAUUAGGUAGUUGGUGGGGUAAUGGCCCACCAAGCCGACGAUCCAUAGCUGGUUUGAGAGGAUGAUCAGCCACACUGGGACUGAUACACGGCCCAGACUCCUACGGGAGGCAGCAGUGGGGAAUCUUAGACAAUGGGGGCAACCCUGAUCUAGCCAUGCCGCGUGAGUGAUGAAGGCCUUAGGGUUGUAAAGCUCUUUCAGCUGGGAAGAUAAUGACGGUACCAGCAGAAGAAGCCCCGGCUAACUCCGUGCCAGCCGCCGCAGUAA
RNAcentral lists this ribosomal RNA (449 nucleotides) under uncultured bacterium. Its description in RNAcentral is "partial 16S ribosomal RNA". It matches the Rfam family "Bacterial small subunit ribosomal RNA", at positions 29 to 523 of the family's 1533-position model. The record is from RNAcentral.